GUUAACUUUCAACGAUACGUUCGCGCAAAGCAAAGACACUCAAGACGCAAGAUGUCACCAAACAAACAACAGAUGCAGACCACAGAAAGAAAACGUGGUAGACCGGCCGGGAAGAAUAGAAUUCCGCUGACACAUAAUGAACGGCGUUCUCGUAACGCUUUUUUGGAGCGAGAACGGCGAGCUUCUACGGCAAAGGCCAUAGUCGAGCUGGCUGAGGCGAUGGAGUGCGACCCCAAUAUUUCUAGAGCGGACCUUUUGGCUAAGGCCAUUAAAUACAUACGGAGGAUGUCGAAAGGUCCGAUGGAAACAAUCAGCCAGCUGACUGGUAUAAAUAAGAAUCUUGAGUUCCAAAUAUCUAAAUUGAAGACGGAACUCAAGGAUCGUGGUGUAUGCCGUAAAAAGCAAAGUCGCGGAAAGUUCUAAUGCGAGUCUUCGGCCGAAGAAGAAAAGAAAGGGGAAGGGGAAAGGAGAAUAGAACCGGAGAGAAUGUUCAGACUCUGACUUCGGAGUUAUGGACAUAGGAUCGGACGACGAAGAUCUCCGAUCGAAAAGCCUGAGUGAUUUGCAGAGAGAAUAUUUGGGCGACGUUGUGUCUUUAAUAAAGGACUAAAGUCCUUUAUUAGACGACACUCGAGCCAAUAUUCUCUCGACUUGGGUUUUUCGAUGCGCUUUCGUCGUCCGACGCUCCGAUUUCCGGUGUCCGACCUAACUCCAAGACUAAAGGUACUCUGACCUGACCCUGACCCAUUAGUUAAGUACAACUAGAUUAGGUAUCUAUGGCUGUUUCAAUUUAUAUAAUUUGAAGGGAACUAUUCAAUAGUUGAAAAUGUAUGUAUUUAUACAAAGAAACAAUUAUUUUAUGAUUUAUGAAUUUAUUUAUUAUUUCACAAUUGUCAAUUAAACCAUCAACUAUUAUAUUAGAGAAUACUAUUAUUAUUAUUAAUACUUAUUUAUUAUAACUUAUUUGUAUUAAAGUAAAAAUAAAUGUACAAAAUGAAUUAUGUCUUUAUGUACCUGAUUAAUACAAUAAAGGUCUCUU
This is a long non-coding RNA of Galleria mellonella (greater wax moth), 1039 nucleotides long. RefSeq lists it as uncharacterized. The record is from RefSeq and is a predicted model, not a curated record. The transcript has 9 exons. Lineage: Eukaryota; Metazoa; Arthropoda; Insecta; Lepidoptera; Pyralidae.